GUAGUCUCGCACAGAUGCAUAUCAAUAAGCGGAGGAAAAGAAACUAACAAGGAUUCCCCUAGUAACGGCGAGUGAAGCGGGAAGAGCUCAAAUUUGAAAUCUUAAAGGGUUUCCCUUUACGAAUUGUAGUUUAAAGAAGUGUUUUCUGUUGAGGUUUUGGUAAAAGUUCUUUGGAAUAGGACAUCAUAGAGGGUGAGAAUCCCGUAUUUGACCUUUACUUUCAACUUUGUGAUACACUUUCAAAGAGUCGGAUUGUUUGGGAAUGCAGUCCAAAAUGGGUGGUAAAUUUCAUCUAAAGCUAAAUAUUGGCGAGAGACCGAUAGCGAACAAGUACCGUGAGGGAAAGAUGAAAAGAACUUUGAAAAGAGAGUUAAACAGUACGUGAAAUUGUCAAAAGGGAAGCGUUUGACACCAGUGUUGUUUUUCUGAAAAUCAAUUAAAGAACUGUUUAUGCUAAGCUGUUUAGACUUUAUCAGCUAUACUGUUUAGUUUUGAGCUUUUCUUUAAUGCACUUUUCAGUUAACAAGUCAACAUCAAUUUCUUUUGCUGUAAAAAAGCUUGAGGAAGGUGGCUUGAGAUUCGUCUUAAGUGUUUAUAGCCUCUUGCCUAUGCAGUCGGAGAGAUUGAGGUCUGCAGCGUAGAUCCUUCGGGGCUAAAUGCAUUUGUGCUAAGUUAUAGCAUUUUAUAGACAACUUGUUGACUAUGAUUUGUCUUGUAGCUUACUCGCUUAUGUUAUUUUACCUACGCUUAGGAUGUUGAAGACUCUACAGAGAUA
This 775-nucleotide ribosomal RNA is filed under the name uncultured Neocallimastigales. RNAcentral's name for it is "partial large subunit ribosomal RNA". It matches the Rfam family "Eukaryotic large subunit ribosomal RNA", at positions 24 to 633 of the family's 3401-position model. The record is from RNAcentral. Lineage: Eukaryota; Fungi; Neocallimastigomycota; Neocallimastigomycetes; Neocallimastigales.